Long non-coding RNA from Eurytemora carolleeae, 214 nucleotides. RefSeq lists it as uncharacterized. The transcript is spliced from 3 exons. The record is from RefSeq and is a predicted model, not a curated record. NCBI's taxonomy places the organism in Eukaryota, Metazoa, Arthropoda, Copepoda, Calanoida, Temoridae.
UAAGGCUGGAAUGAAGAGGAGGAGGUUGUAUCAGCUCUCAAGGGUUAUGCUCCACCUCAUCUCACGGAGGAUACAGAUACUGGAUUAAAGGGAGUGUUCUUGUGUCCAACCUUGAUGAAUAAAAUAUACCUGGAGGGAGAGAAAAGUGCCUCAAUUGAUUUGAAUGGGAAGCUUAUGGAUCAAUUGGUCUCAGUAGGGCUGUGUACAGAGUAAG